Molecule: small RNA, 148 nt
Filed under: Macaca fascicularis (crab-eating macaque)
Lineage: Eukaryota; Metazoa; Chordata; Mammalia; Primates; Cercopithecidae
Also listed under: 1 other name
Description: Metazoan signal recognition particle RNA (ENSMFAG00000055397.1)
Source: Rfam by way of RNAcentral
GCUGGGCACGUUGGCAUGUGCCUGUAGUCCCAGCUGCUUGGGAAGCUGAGGCAGGAGGAUUGCUUGAGCCCAGGAGGUGGAGGCUGCAGUGAGCCAUGUUUGUACUACCACACUCCAGCCUGGGUGACAAAGUGAGACCCUGUCUCAA